Molecule: long non-coding RNA, 1892 nt
Organism: Felis catus (domestic cat)
Lineage: Eukaryota; Metazoa; Chordata; Mammalia; Carnivora; Felidae
Exons: 4
Source: RefSeq, a predicted model, not a curated record
UCGAACCCACGAACUGUGAGAUCAUGACCUGAGCUAAAGUCAGACGCUCAGCCGACUGAGCCACCCAGGCGCCCCAUGACUGAGAAUUUUAAGUUCCUGCAUUGGAGAUGUCCGAAGGGUGUUCUUUUUUGUGCUUUCUUUGAUGUGUCUACAUACAGAAUCCCGUCCCCUGUGUUUAGAGAGAGUUUUACUUCUUCUGACCAUGUCGGUUGCCCGUGACUCCUUUUUCUUGCCUAGCUGCUCUGGCUAGAAUUUCCAGCAGCGAUGAAAGCAGCCAAUCUGCUCUUUAUCAUGUUGAGGAAGUUCCCUUCUAUUUCUGGUUUCCUGGGUGUGUUUUUUUUAUCGUGAAAGGAGGUUGGGUUUUGCGAAAGAAGAGGUUUCUUUUCUGCACCGAUUGAGAUGAUCAUGUGUUUCCCCCCUCCAUUCUAUUAAUGUGGGGUAUUAUGUUGAUUGAUUUUUUUCCCAUGUUGAACAGCCUUGCAUUCCUGGGAUAAAUCCCAUUUAGUCAUGGUGUGUAACCUUUUUCAUAUGCUGCUGAGUUUGGUUUGCUAGUAUCUUGUUGAGGAUUUUACACUAUCGUCAUAGAGGAUGUUGGUCUAUAGUCUUUUUUUCUUGUGAUGUCUUCGGCUUUGAUAUCAGGGUAAUGCUGACCUUGUGGAAUGACCUCAUGUUCUUUUCUCUCUUAUUUUUUUUUUUUUUGAAGACUUUGAGGAAUACUGGUGUUAAUUGUUCUUUAAACAUUUGGUAGAAUUCACUGGGAAAGCCAUCUGUUCCUGAAUUUUUCUUUCUUGGGAGGUUUUUAAUUACUGAUUCAACCCCUUUAAUGUUCUAGUGUCGCAGGUGAGUGGGAGAGACGCUGGUCCUUGUCUCGCCGAGUUGAGCAAUGAAUCUCGCAGACACGAGAGUGAGCAAAGAGACAGAGUAUACUGAGCCAAGUACAAAGCUCUCAAGGGAUCCCUCACUGCCAUUGGGGACCAAGGACAGUGACAGUUCUGGCUUCUUCAAGCUGAAGAGGGACGGCGUAAGGGUAUGGCACUCAGAGUCUACCAAGGGUCGGUCGAGUGGUCCCCGGUUAUGGCUCCACAGGAAGGCUGGCAGGCAUGAGGCGGCACAGACAUCGGCAGCCACAAAGAGAAAACCACCAAUGACUGUGCUGACCAACAAGAUGGCGCCCGGGAAGGCCUCUACCAAUUAGAAAAGCAUCAGCCCGUACCAACAGAUGCUGGAGCCCUUUUGACCUUGGCACCUGCAUGCACUCUGAUUGCCCGUCUUCUCCUGGAUGGCUUCCAGUUCUCUGACUGCCUGGGAGGGCAAGGUCGUGGUUCAAAGGAUUGUUUCUAAGACAGACGUCACAGGCCGAAACUACUUGUUGAACUGUCCUUGACAGAUUUUUCCUGCAUCGAUCUGACCAUGAGAUAGUACUGUGCUGAGUACUUCCCUCAGGGGGCCAGGACUCUCCACCCCCCAGGCGAUACUGAGGCCAAGCCUGGGAACAACCACCACCGCAACAAACUUCGUGCACUUCUCUCUGAGCAUUUGUAGAUCCAAUCUUUCCCAAUUUUUCAGAACACCUUCCAGAGGAGUUUCCCAGCUCGAGAUCCCGACAGAAGUCAAGAGCCUCCGUACCUGGUGACCAGGUAGGGGUGACCAGAAGGCGUCCCUGCGUAUCAGCUCUUGCCGCCUACCAGCGGCGCGUGGGAGAAGAAGUCAGCUGCAAAAGAAAGGGAGGAGGGGUCGACAGCUGGAAGAAUUGCCGCCCCGAACAACUCCUCGUUCCCGUAUUUAUUGGGAAAGGGAAAACAAUCAUCAAAAGACAUCAAGAUGUAUUGCAUUGUUCAAAGAGCGUUCUCAAGAGAAGAGCGGAACUUGCUUAAAGCGUGUAGGCGGGGGGG